RNAcentral lists this ribosomal RNA (412 nucleotides) under Salmonella enterica. RNAcentral describes it as "bacterial SSU rRNA". It matches the Rfam family "Bacterial small subunit ribosomal RNA", at positions 1 to 409 of the family's 1533-position model. The record is from RNAcentral. Lineage: Bacteria; Pseudomonadati; Pseudomonadota; Gammaproteobacteria; Enterobacterales; Enterobacteriaceae.
AAAUUGAAGAGUUUGAUCAUGGCUCAGAUUGAACGCUGGCGGCAGGCCUAACACAUGCAAGUCGAACGGUAACAGAAAGCAGCUUGCUGCUUUGCUGACGAGUGGCGGACGGGUGAGUAAUGUCUGGGAAACUGCCUGAUGGAGGGGGAUAACUACUGGAAACGGUGGCUAAUACCGCAUAACGUCGCAAGACCAAAGAGGGGGACCUUCGGGCCUCUUGCCAUCAGAUGUGCCCAGAUGGGAUUAGCUUGUUGGUGAGGUAACGGCUCACCAAGGCGACGAUCCCUAGCUGGUCUGAGAGGAUGACCAGCCACACUGGAACUGAGACACGGUCCAGACUCCUACGGGAGGCAGCAGUGGGGAAUAUUGCACAAUGGGCGCAAGCCUGAUGCAGCCAUGCCGCGUGUAUGAA